Molecule: non-coding RNA, 1832 nt
Organism: Cyanistes caeruleus (blue tit)
Lineage: Eukaryota; Metazoa; Chordata; Aves; Passeriformes; Paridae
Source: RefSeq, a predicted model, not a curated record
AGCGUCUCUCUGGAUGCACAUUCAGCCUUAGUCUAACUGAGGCCUCCCUGUGAUCAAGCCCACGAGGACCCUGGGCUUUUCUGUGGCUGGAAGGGAAGGAUGGGGCUGUUCCAUGCUGGAAGACAAACCAGGAGCCAGAGGUGCUGAGAGGCUGCUCUGAGGCACCCCAAGAGGUUCCCUUCUCCAGGAAGUGAGCUUCUGCCUCUGUGCACAGGAUGUGCCUUGGUGUCUCCCUGCUGUCCUUGCUUUGUGUCACCAACGCCUGAUGGACUCCUCUGACAAAGCAGGACGAGGGAGGAUGAGCACAGAGGUGAGGAAAGCGUUGCCCUGCAUCCUGCUGGCAGUGGGAUGGUCCCACACUGGAUGGGGUUUGUGACAGAGAAGGAUCCACACAGGGAUUUUGGCAGCUUGUGGUGAUGAGGAGGUGCUGAGUAGAUCCAUAAUGGUGUGGCUGGGUGCCGAGGCUUGUGAGGUGCUCACAGCAGUGCCAGGGUGUCACCAAGUCAGCGCUCUUGAGACAAAUCUGGGAUCUGUGGGAUGCUGCUCAGUGAUCUGGGCACCUCCAAAGCUCCUCCACUUCCUUUGUUGAGGUGGGAAUGAGCAGCUCUGUCUGUGUGGAGGUGGAUAAAGGACACGGGGUGGGUGACUUGGGGUUUGCAGUCACUGCUCCCUGGGGAGGGAGGCUGCGGUAAGGAGCUGCUGAGGUUUGCUGGCACUUUGGUAACUCCCAUGCCAAGGGAAACACUCAAAUUCACCCAAGGACACACCAAGCCAGGUUAAGAGCAUCAUUCUGCCCUCAGAAAAGAUUUUAUUUCACCUUGAGCAGCAGCAGGAUAGGGCCAUGAUGCACUCCAGCACGUUGGAGCUGGAGCCAGCCAAGAGCCUACACUGAGUGGAAUUUAUGCUCAUUUUUUGGCCUGAUAGGAAGCAAGAGAAACCUGAUGCUAUUAAAACCUGAGAAGGUGAGUGAGGAUCCUUUUGAUUAGCUCCAGGCUCUUGGGUCUCUCCCUAUGCUUCCCAGCAUCUCUUCUCCACCUGGGAUAAAACUGGAGGGACAUGGAACAAUUGUGGCCUUCUCAGAGGAGGGGUUGGGAGUGCUGGUUUCAAUCCAAGCCUGAUCAGCUGUGUUUGGGAUGUGGGCACAGUGACUUGAAAGUUGUGAAGGCUGCAGGUCUCACUGGGCUGGGAGAGAAUCCAGAUGUGAUUUGGACACUAGAUGGAGACAAGAGGGUUGAGGAUUGACAGAGGAGCAGGAAUGCUGUUCCCCAGCAGCAGGUGGGAGAUCCAGCAAGGGAAGUCAUCAGCAAAUGGGGGAACUGCCCUGGAAUCUAAGCAGAGAGCUCAACCAGUGCAGUCUUGGAGAGCUGGAGUCCUUGAAAGAUGAAGCCUCUUAAAAUAAGGAGAGAUUUUAUCUGAAAAUCAAGUUGGCAGUGGCCUGUGUGGUCAGGAUUGGCCAUUGCUCAGGGUCCAAGGAAUCAGUGGGGGAAACUAGAGCCCAUCUCAUCGGCCACACUUUCCUGUCCCACACUGGCCCACGUUGUCACCAAGGGCUUCCAGGAGGUCAGAACUGACACUUCCUUGCUAUUCACACAUGAGGACAAUGUUGGUUAAGUAUAAAUGAGUUAUUUUCAUUUUGUUCCAUGAUUCUCACUCACAUUGGUGCUUUACUGUUGCCCUGUUAUCUUGUUCUGCCAGAGCUGUGCAGCCCAAGCACGAGAGCAAAACGUGCUCUGUUACUGCUGGAACUAGUGCUCACAUGGAAAAAAACCCACAUUAAAUCUGAAUAAAAUGAGGUGGGGGAAAUGUUCAGUUGUUUCCUCCCUCCAGAUCCA